RNAcentral lists this long non-coding RNA (531 nucleotides) under Triticum aestivum (bread wheat). Its description in RNAcentral is "long non-coding RNA (TAES_LNC016186)". The record is from RNAcentral. Lineage: Eukaryota; Viridiplantae; Streptophyta; Magnoliopsida; Poales; Poaceae.
UGUUUAAAUUUAAAAAAAAUACAUUGUUUAAGAAAGCUGGGCCAUCCAAGAAUCUUCAAAUCUCAGGUGUAUAUACAUAAAACAACGCGAUCAUGCUCUCCCUUCAGGAAUUAAAUCUACAUGAUCCAGCAAAAUGAACCAAAAUUACAAGUAUUAUCCUUCACCACACAAAAAUAAGCAUAAUUGCCUUUUACCAAUAAAGUAGCAUGCAUAGGUGCUCAAUGCUUAAUUGACAGUCUAGAAGGGCUGCUCGGCAAGCAUUAACAUACAACACAUAAUAAAUUGAGUUCUGUGAAACACUGCAUUGCAAGGACUGAGAAGUCCUAUAGUAGUAGCUUAGAUGUAAAUACUGCAAUUUCUUGAAAAUACACUACUCGUGCAGGCUGGUAAUCAUGUCGUGGCAAGUAAAUCACGUGGAGGGUUCGCUGUCAAGGCGAAUCCUCUUGGUACCAACCUCGUCAGCAGCCGGCACCCUAUUCUCCUUUGCUUCCACCGAGCACCUCUUGUAAGGUUUGAAGCCUGUCCGGCGGG